Molecule: long non-coding RNA, 586 nt
Filed under: Homo sapiens (human)
Lineage: Eukaryota; Metazoa; Chordata; Mammalia; Primates; Hominidae
Description: HSALNT0364684
Source: RNAcentral
AUUAGAAAUAGAAAUUAUAAUGUUGUGUUUCAGGGUGUAUGUAAGGUAUUAAUUUUAGCUUGUUAACCAAUGAGUGCACUUUUCUUUUUCCUGCAACAACUUGCUCUCUCAGCUGGACUUCUUUCUAUCUAACCAGAUACUUUCAAGAUCUGGGAGCUUCAGGUUCCUUGCUCCCUUGGCUUUGCCGUUGAUAACUUCCUGUCCAAUCCUACCAAAGUCUGGAACUGGAACAUCCAAGGGUUGCCCUUAGACGCCUUCUCUACUGAGAAUGGCAUCAUCAUCAAGCGAGGCCAUAGGAAGAAGUGUUUAAACUAUAAACUGAGGAGGAGAAAAUAUCUAGGAAAAGAGAAGAAAGUUGGCAAAACCAUGGUCUCCUUCUUCCUGAAUUUGUAACUUGGCCUACAAAGAAAGCAUCAGUCCUACUACACAGGAAGAGUCAACACUCGGAGGAGGCCUUCUGCACUUUGUCCUCUCCUUCUUUUCACUCCUCAUAAUGGGAAAGAAAACUCUGGCAGUUACGGUUGUUGAAAAUUUCAAAGAUGGUGUCAUCGUGAAGAACAUCUGGCUCUUGAUCCCAGUGCUUGGU